This 1183-nucleotide long non-coding RNA is filed under the name Astyanax mexicanus (Mexican tetra). RNAcentral's name for it is "lncRNA (ENSAMXG00005018668.1)". Lineage: Eukaryota; Metazoa; Chordata; Actinopteri; Characiformes; Acestrorhamphidae. The record is from RNAcentral.
CCUCUCCAAAUAUAGUACAUAUUUAAGCAAUAAUACACGAGAGGGAGUGCUAUAAAAUGUAAUAUUGGCACUUAUUAAUAUUACACUUUAUAGCAUGAACCUGGAAUGUAUUCUUGUGAUUACAACACAGUUCCAUUAUAUCUGUUUAUUAAAAGAUUUUAAGUUAAAGAGGACAAGAAAAUACGAUUUGCUUGGUUAUAAAAACUCUGUGACUUGGCUUUCAGCCAAUCACAUUGCAGGGUCGGAACUAACUGUGGUAUAAUUUAACAUUCUUUAUCUGAGUCACACUCUUACUGUCCCUUUGCCCUUUAACUGUCACAACAGGAAGUGUGUUUACCUGUCUGUAGUAUAAACAGAUUAAAGAUGGAGAUAGGAGAGUGAAACAGAUGCAUUUGAAAACUUCAGUUUUUUUUUAUUUUAUUUAUUGAUUGAUUUUUUUUUUUAUUUUACUCCAAGCACUGGAGCAGCUCGACAGACCUAACAGCAGAUAGAAAGAUCCAUCUGACUUCAAUCCACCCAGAAGAACAAGAAGCAUUGAGAACGUCUUACACUAUCCAUUUGGCUUUAAUCCAAUCAGAAGAACAAGAAGCGUUGGCUCCUCAUAUCGUAAGUCACUAUUCAUUAUUCAGCUUGACUGAUGUAGCAUUGUUAGUAUUAACAGCAUUAGCAUUGUGUGUAUUGGAACUACACAAAAAAUUAAGGAAGAAAAACAGUGGCACCUCAACAGUGUUUCAGCCGCACCAAAAACAGAAUUGCAGCGCCCUCCCAGGGCACAUCAACUGCAUAGCAGCGUCCUCUCAGCACUGGCACCUCAACAGCACCUUAACUAGGGUGACCAAACGUCCGUAUUUUAUGUCCUGUCCCGUCACGGGUUUUUUUUUCAGAAAGUGAGGAAAUGUUCUGUUUUUUAAAUUACCUUCAUUGGACCAGAGAGCAGUAGACAGCUUGACUGUCAGCGUGGAACCCUCCCUCCCCCCCUUCCGGUGUAGUCUCACAGUAAGAGCACACACAACGCUCCACCCCUCAACCGGCUACAGUACCACAACAGUGUAGCAGCCACACCGGCUACAGUACCACCUCAACAGUGUAGCAGCCACACCGGCUACAGUACCACCUCAACAGUGUAGCAGCCACACCGGCUACAGUACCACCACAACAGUGUAGCAGCCACACCGGCUACAGU